GGUGGUGGAAGCGGUGUAGUUGGAGGUGAAGGCGGUUUAACCGUUGGUGCCGGCUGAGGAGGUGCUGACAGUUUGCCCACAGGAGCUACCGGGUGGAGCGGUUGAGUCUUAAAAGCAAAACUAGGAAAAAAAAAGUUGUUAGAAGAUGAGAACAAGAGACUUACAGGUACGAGUGAGAAGAUUAACGUGAACAAGACGGAGAAGAAUAAGAGAAGGGAGUUUGAGCUAGACAUUGUUGAAGUUCGAAGAUUUGCUUGAAGCCCCUCACUUAGAGAUAAAUUUGUUUAUUGAUGGUCUAUAAAUAGAACUUGAAGUGAGUGGCAUAGUGCAACGUAAUUUUAACCACCGCCAUUUGUCCCAUUCCGUAAAUUUUACACAACCCGACGUGUUCAAUCUGGAGGAUUCCACACUUCCAAUUUAAAAAUGUUAUAUGCAUUCCAUAUUAUAGAUUUGUUAUUCGAAUGUUGAAUCUAGAGGGUUCGAUCAGUGGUAUUACAUUUAUACAGACAGACACACUUACUCUAAAACGGUAGAACCGUAGGGGAAAUCGUUUUGAUCAAAAUAGCAAACUGUCAAUUUCUUAUAGUUGUGUUUGAUAAAAUAUAUAGACGGGGAUCAUAGUAUAUAAGAUAUUGACUAGAACACCUAUCUUAUGUAAAAAUAUAGCACCUCAAAUAUGUAACAGCAAAUAUGAAAAUGUGAAUAGUUAUUAGCCUAAUUAAAUCCUCUAAUAUGGUCUCUUGUUCUUAACCUAGUUAAAUGAUAUGUGUAUUGCCUGGUUGAUAAACGUAGGAUUAUAUCAAAUUUACUGAAUAGUGGAACAUUAUACAAAGUCUAGUGUUAUAAACUUAAAACCAACUUAUUGCAGGUUUUACCAAUCGGCUUAGUAAUACUUUCUUGGGAACUCUUUAGCAUCACGGGUGAACUUUUUCAAACAUAUCAUGGUAUACAUGUUUAGCAAACCCCAUUGGCUCAUCUCUUAGUUUGAUCAUUAGCAGAAUCUAAUCACUCUUUCUACAUAUCAUCCGAUCGGUAUGUUUUUAACAGUUAGGCCAAGAUCAUUUAAGAAAUUAAUCGUUUCAUUCAUUUAUCUGAAACUGGACAUUAUAAGUUUCUGAAAAUUAUGUAUAAAACCCACAUUUAAGAAAGGUAAAAGAAUAAAAAAACAAGCAAAAAAGUAAGCGAAUAUAAACUGGUUUAUCCCCCUUCUUCUCUGUCCUUACUUUGUGUGUGUCUAGUUGAUCUGUUCUCCGAUCAAAUCCAACCCUACAACCAAGAAAGACAACCCCU
Molecule: long non-coding RNA, 1290 nt
Organism: Brassica napus (rape)
Lineage: Eukaryota; Viridiplantae; Streptophyta; Magnoliopsida; Brassicales; Brassicaceae
Exons: 2
Source: RefSeq, a predicted model, not a curated record